UCGCUGGCUCCGGUGUUCGUCGCAGCGGCAGUUUGCCGCAAUGAGCGACAAACAGUUUAUGCGUUGUUUGACGCCCGCAGCCGCAGGUGUCAUAUACUGAUUUUACAUUUCCUUUGCACCCGCUCUUAAUCGACGAAGCUUUCCUGCACAUCACAUAAAAUUAAGUGUACUUAGGAUUGAUUUAGUGCAAUUGCAAUAGUUCUGCACCUGGUAUAUCAUGCAGUAGCUAGCUCUAUUUUUCUUUCUUUUCAAUGCAAUUGAUGGUUCAGUUCAGUUCAUCGUUAGGGCCUAAAAUCAAUGUUUAGUAAUAAAAUUUAGUGAUUGUCCCAUGUAAACUUGAUUUUCUGGUUGCAGGUUUAUUGUCUGUCUUGGGUGGUCAUUGUAGCAGUAGUGUGUGUACUGGACAGCCUUCAGCCACCGUCGUUUACCUCCGACUCAUCGGCCAGUCGCCGUCGUUUACCUCAUGUCUCGUUGGACCGCCGAACAGCACAGUCGUCUAACACUGUCUCAUCGGGCAGCCACCGCCGUCUACUUCUGCCUCGUCGUUAAUUGUGUGCUAGCAUUUCCUCCCAAGAACUUGUUAGGUUAUUCUAACUCGGCAAUGUAACCAUGAUCUUGUUUUCUGUAUAUGGAUUUUUUUAGUGAUUUUUAUUUUCAUUUUAUUUUUCAUGGUGCUACCAUGAUUUAUUUUAUUUUCAGGUAUAAUUUUUGAACAUUUUUAUUUAUUUUUCCCUAAUGGUCAUGGCGUUAGAGCAGACUACUAGCGGGGUGAGGAUGUUCUGCUU
This 785-nucleotide long non-coding RNA is filed under the name Triticum aestivum (bread wheat). RNAcentral describes it as "long non-coding RNA (TAES_LNC006717)". The record is from RNAcentral. Lineage: Eukaryota; Viridiplantae; Streptophyta; Magnoliopsida; Poales; Poaceae.